This 246-nucleotide long non-coding RNA is filed under the name Solanum tuberosum (potato). RNAcentral's name for it is "long non-coding RNA (STUB_LNC005296)". The record is from RNAcentral. Lineage: Eukaryota; Viridiplantae; Streptophyta; Magnoliopsida; Solanales; Solanaceae.
GCCUUGUUCCUUUCCAGCCAUAUUGUCCAGAAAAUGCACAACGGCAUAGUCCACCAUAUCUGCUUGUUCUCCUUGUGAGUAGCCUGUUAUAGCCAACUUUGUAAUAAACCUCUCAUAUUCUGAGGCAUCACCAAGUAAUACCACACAGACACUUAGAAAUAACUCCCAGCAUUGUUUCGCAACUCUGCAGUGGAUAAACAGGUGCUCAACAGUUCCUUGAUCUUCUUGACACAAGCAGCAUCUAUU